UUUACAAGUCAAGUAGAAUAUGAUAUGAGAGUUCUAUGAGAGGUUAGCUAGUAAUAUUUUACAAGGCAGUUCAUUUAAUACUAAGCUACAAUUUUACAUCCAAGUAAUGAAAAUGAGAA
Long non-coding RNA from Populus euphratica (Euphrates poplar), 119 nucleotides. RefSeq lists it as uncharacterized. The record is from RefSeq and is a predicted model, not a curated record. Lineage: Eukaryota; Viridiplantae; Streptophyta; Magnoliopsida; Malpighiales; Salicaceae. The transcript is spliced from 3 exons.